Molecule: ribosomal RNA, 747 nt
Filed under: uncultured cyanobacterium
Lineage: Bacteria; Bacillati; Cyanobacteriota
Description: bacterial SSU rRNA
Rfam family: Bacterial small subunit ribosomal RNA
Source: RNAcentral
AGAGUUUGAUCAUGGCUCAGGAUGAACGCUGGCGGUCUGCUUAACACAUGCAAGUCGAACGGGUGUAGAAAUACAUUAGUGGCGGACGGGUGAGUAACGCGUGAGAAUCUGGCUUUGGGUUCGGGACAACCACUGGAAACGGUGGCUAAUACCGGAUGUGCCUUAAUGGUAAAAGGUUUACCGCCUGAAGAUGAGCUCGCGUCUGAUUAGCUAGUUGGUGUGGUAAGAGCGCACCAAGGCGACGAUCAGUAGCUGGUCUGAGAGGAUGAUCAGCCACACUGGGUCUGAGACACGGCCCAGACUCCUACGGGAGGCAGCAGUGGGGAAUUUUCCGCAAUGGGCGAAAGCCUGACGGAGCAAGACCGCGUGAGGGAGGAAGGCUCUUGGGUUGUAAACCUCUUUUGUCAGGGAAGAACACAAUGACGGUACCUGAAGAAUCAGCAUCGGCUAACUCCGUGCCAGCAGCCGCGGUAAUACGGGGGAUGCAAGCGUUAUCCGGAAUUAUUGGGCGUAAAGCGUCCGCAGGUGGCUAAUCAAGUCUGCUGUCAAAGGUUGGGGCUUAACCCCAAAAAGGCAGUGGAAACUGAGAAGCUAGAGUGCAGUAGGGGUAGAGGGAAUUCCCGGUGUAGCGGUGAAAUGCGUAGAGAUCGGGAAGAACAUCGGUGGCGAAAGCGCUCUACUGGACUGCAACUGACACUCAGGGACGAAAGCUAGGGGAGCGAAUGGGAUUAGAUACCCCCGUAGUCC